UAGGGAAUCUUCCACAAUGGACGAAAGUCUGAUGGAGCAACGCCGCGUGAGUGAUGAAGGUUUUCGGAUCGUAAAACUCUGUUGUAAGGGAAGAACAAGUGCGUUAGGUAAUGAACGCACCUUGACGGUACCUUAUUAGAAAGCCACGGCUAACUACGUGCCAGCAGCCGCGGUAAUACGUAGGUGGCAAGCGUUGUCCGGAUUUAUUGGGCGUAAAGCGCGCGCAGGUGGUUUCUUAAGUCUGAUGUGAAAGCCCACGGCUCAACCGUGGAGGGUCAUUGGAAACUGGGAGACUUGAGUGCAGAAGAGGAUAGUGGAAUUCCAAGUGUAGCGGUGAAAUGCGUAGAGAUUUGGAGGAACACCAGUGGCGAAGGCGACUGUCUGGUCUGUAACUGACACUGAGGCGCGAAAGCGUGGGGAGCAAACAGG
This 429-nucleotide ribosomal RNA is filed under the name Bacillota bacterium. RNAcentral describes it as "Firmicutes bacterium partial 16S ribosomal RNA". It matches the Rfam family "Bacterial small subunit ribosomal RNA", at positions 355 to 776 of the family's 1533-position model. RNAcentral also lists the same sequence under 1 other name. The record is from RNAcentral. Lineage: Bacteria; Bacillati; Bacillota.